ACUCCUACGGGAGGCAGCAGUGGGGAAUAUUGCACAAUGGGCGCAAGCCUGAUGCAGCCAUGCCGCGUGUAUGAAGAAGGCCUUCGGGUUGUAAAGUACUUUCAGCAGUGAGGAAGGUGGGUAUGUUAAUAGCAUACUCAUUUGUACGUUAGCUGCAGAAGAAGCACCGGCUAACUCCGUGCCAGCAGCCGCGGUAAUACGGAGGGUGCGAGCGUUAAUCGGAAUUACUGGGCGUAAAGCGCAUGCAGGUGGUUUGUUAAGUCAGAUGUGAAAGCCCGGGGCUCAACCUCGGAAUUGCAUUUGAAACUGGCAAACUAGAGUACUGUAGAGGGGGUAGAAUUUCAGGUGUAGCGGUGAAAUGCGUAGAGAUCUGAAGGAUACCGGUGGCGAAGCGGCCCCUGGACAGAUACUGACACUCAGAUGCGAAAGCGUGGGAGCAAACAGGAUUAGAUACCCCGU
RNAcentral lists this ribosomal RNA (459 nucleotides) under uncultured bacterium. RNAcentral describes it as "bacterial SSU rRNA". It matches the Rfam family "Bacterial small subunit ribosomal RNA", at positions 335 to 790 of the family's 1533-position model. The record is from RNAcentral.